Ornithodoros turicata is the source of this 501-nucleotide long non-coding RNA. RefSeq lists it as uncharacterized. The record is from RefSeq and is a predicted model, not a curated record. The transcript is spliced from 3 exons. NCBI's taxonomy places the organism in Eukaryota, Metazoa, Arthropoda, Arachnida, Ixodida, Argasidae.
CUUACCUUCUCCUUUCACAGCAGCCUCAGUUCGCUGUUUAUAUCUCCGUCAGAUUACCUAAACAGCAACGGUCAUUUCAAGAUCAUCGCGUAGACACCUGUGCUGGUCAGCUGUCUGUGCACAAGCAUGAAACGCUUUGUUAUCUUGUAUGUGGUAGUACUGGUGCUGAUCGUCCUGGAAACACUGAAGGGUAUACCACCAGUCCCGAAAAUCAGGCCACACACCAACAACGGUACCAAAGCGUCCGCACGAGACCUACCGGAAGAAGUCAGCAGCAUGUGCAGUAGCACGUACUGGGACCUGUGUCACUGCAAUUAUAAGAACCCUACGGAUGACGGUUAUUGCGCAAUAUGGUGCAAUGAAACAUUUCCCGAAGAAGCCGUGGGAGGAGUUUGUGGAGUUGACUACUGUGUAUGCGAACACUGGUAAAUGUCCUUAGCGUCGGCAUGACUCGCUUGCUGUAUUUGGUCGCUAAGGCAAUAAAGUCCUGCUACGGUUUGA